GACGAACGCUGGCGGCGUGCUUAACACAUGCAAGUCGAACGGAAAGGCCCUGCUUUUGUGCGGUGCUCGAGUGGCGAACGGGUGAGUAACACGUGAGUAACCUGCCCUUGACAUUGGGAUAACUUCAGGAAACUGGGGCUAAUACCGGGUAUGAGCUCCUGCUGCAUGGUGGGGGUUGGAAAGUUUCGGCGGUUGGGUAUGGACUCGCGGAUUGUCAGCUUGUUGGUGGGGUAGUGGCUUACCAAGGCUUUGACGGGUAGCCGGCCUGGGAGGGUGACAGGCCACAUUGGGACUGGGAUACGGCCCAGAGUGCUACGGGAGGCAGAAGUGGAGAAUAGUGCACGAUGGGCGGAAGCCUGAUGCAGCAACGCCGGGUGCGGGAUGACGGCCUUCGGGUUGUAAACCGCUUUCGCCUGGGACGAAGCGUGAGUGACGGUAAUGGGUAAAGAAGCACCGGCUAACUACGUG
Molecule: ribosomal RNA, 468 nt
Filed under: uncultured bacterium
Lineage: Bacteria
Description: partial 16S ribosomal RNA
Rfam family: Bacterial small subunit ribosomal RNA
Source: RNAcentral